GGACGUUUAGCUCAGCUGGUAGAGCCCCCGCUUGACGUGCGGGCGGUCGAGGGUUCGAGUCCCCCAGCGUCCACCA
Molecule: transfer RNA, 76 nt
Filed under: Clostridia bacterium
Lineage: Bacteria; Bacillati; Bacillota; Clostridia
Description: tRNA-Val
Rfam family: tRNA
About the family: Transfer RNA (tRNA) molecules are approximately 80 nucleotides in length. Their secondary structure includes four short double-helical elements and three loops (D, anti-codon, and T loops). Further hydrogen bonds mediate the characteristic L-shaped molecular structure. tRNAs have two regions of fundamental functional importance: the anti-codon, which is responsible for specific mRNA codon recognition, and the 3' end, to which the tRNAs corresponding amino acid is attached (by aminoacyl-tRNA synthetases). tRNAs cope with the degeneracy of the genetic code in two manners: having more than one tRNA (with a specific anti-codon) for a particular amino acid; and 'wobble' base-pairing, i.e. permitting non-standard base-pairing at the 3rd anti-codon position.
Source: RNAcentral